AGAGAGAGAGAGAGAGAGAGAGUUGGAUCUGGAUCUAGUGUUUGAUGAAUCUAAUUUAGAUUGGGUUUCCAUUAAUUUGACCUGUAGCCAUCUUAACUAUCUCAGAUUUAGUUUUUUUGCUUAAAGAAAAGAAUAAUAGCUCAGUUUCUUCUAUUUCAUCGUUUUUUCUAUAAUUUUUAUUAUCUAUUUUUUCCAUCUCGAAAUGGUGAUAAAUGUCAUGUCAAAAUCA
This 229-nucleotide long non-coding RNA is filed under the name Elaeis guineensis (African oil palm). RNAcentral describes it as "long non-coding RNA (EGUI_LNC034971)". Lineage: Eukaryota; Viridiplantae; Streptophyta; Magnoliopsida; Arecales; Arecaceae. The record is from RNAcentral.